UACGGAGGGUGCAAGCGUUAUCCGGAUUUACUGGGUUUAAAGGGUCCGUAGGCGGUUUGGUAAGUCAGUGGUGAAAGCCCUUCGCUCAACGGAGGAACGGCCAUUGAUACUGCCAGACUUGAAUUACUGGGAAGUAACUAGAAUAUGUAGUGUAGCGGUGAAAUGCUUAGAUAUUACAUGGAAUACCAAUUGCGAAGGCAGGUUACUACCGGUGGAUUGACGCUGAUGGACGAAAGCGUGGGGAGCGAACAGG
Molecule: ribosomal RNA, 253 nt
Filed under: uncultured bacterium
Lineage: Bacteria
Description: partial 16S ribosomal RNA
Rfam family: Bacterial small subunit ribosomal RNA
Source: RNAcentral